UACGUAGGGUGCAAGCGUUAAUCGGAAUUACUGGGCGUAAAGCGUGCGCAGGCGGUUAUGUAAGACAGUUGUGAAAUCCCCGGGCUCAACCUGGGAACUGCAUCUGUGACUGCACGGCUAGAGUGUGUCAGAGGGGGGUAGAAUUCCACGUGUAGCAGUGAAAUGCGUAGAGAUGUGGAGGAAUACCGAUGGCGAAGGCAGCCCCCUGGGAUAACACUGACGCUCAUGCACGAAAGCGUGGGGAGCAAACAGG
This 253-nucleotide ribosomal RNA is filed under the name uncultured bacterium. RNAcentral's name for it is "partial 16S ribosomal RNA". It matches the Rfam family "Bacterial small subunit ribosomal RNA", at positions 524 to 776 of the family's 1533-position model. The record is from RNAcentral.